GCCUGAAUGGCUCAGUCAGUUGAGCGUCCGACUUUGGCUCAGGUCAUGAUCCCAUAGUCCGUGGGUUCAAGCCCCACAUCGGGCU
This 85-nucleotide transfer RNA is filed under the name Felis catus (domestic cat). It matches the Rfam family "tRNA". From Rfam's summary of the family: Transfer RNA (tRNA) molecules are approximately 80 nucleotides in length. Their secondary structure includes four short double-helical elements and three loops (D, anti-codon, and T loops). The record is from Rfam by way of RNAcentral. Lineage: Eukaryota; Metazoa; Chordata; Mammalia; Carnivora; Felidae.